RNAcentral lists this ribosomal RNA (492 nucleotides) under uncultured bacterium. RNAcentral's name for it is "partial 16S ribosomal RNA". It matches the Rfam family "Bacterial small subunit ribosomal RNA", at positions 29 to 507 of the family's 1533-position model. The record is from RNAcentral.
AGUGAACGCUGGCGGUAGGCCUAACACAUGCAAGUCGAACGACAGCACCGUAAGAGCUUGCUCUCACGGGCGGAGCGCGGCGGAAGGGUGCGGAAUACUCCGGAAUAUACUUUUUCGUGGGGGCUAAUGUCGGGAAACUUACGCUAAUAACGCAUAUGUCCUCUGGGUGAAAGCAGGCGAUCUUCGGACCUUGUGCGAUUGUAUGAGCCGAUGUCGGCUUAGCUAGAUGGCGGGGUAAAGGCCAACCAAGGCGACGAUCCGUAGCGGGACUGAGCGGAUGAGCGACGACACUGGGACUGAGACAGAGGCCAAACUGCUACGGGAGGCAGCAGAGGGGAAUAUUGGUCAAUGGGCGGAAGCCUGUUCCAAACAUACCGCGUUGGUGAAGAAGGCCUUCGGGUUGUAAAGCCCGUGUGUUGGGGAAGAAAAGCAUCAGAUGAAUACCCCGCUGGUCUGACGGUGCCCGAAGAAUAAGCACCGGCUAACUUCGUG